RNAcentral lists this ribosomal RNA (618 nucleotides) under Salmonella enterica subsp. enterica serovar Infantis. Its description in RNAcentral is "bacterial SSU rRNA". It matches the Rfam family "Bacterial small subunit ribosomal RNA", at positions 1 to 608 of the family's 1533-position model. The record is from RNAcentral. RNAcentral also lists the same sequence under 1 other name. Lineage: Bacteria; Pseudomonadati; Pseudomonadota; Gammaproteobacteria; Enterobacterales; Enterobacteriaceae.
AAAUUGAAGAGUUUGAUCAUGGCUCAGAUUGAACGCUGGCGGCAGGCCUAACACAUGCAAGUCGAACGGUAACAGGAAGCAGCUUGCUGCUUCGCUGACGAGUGGCGGACGGGUGAGUAAUGUCUGGGAAACUGCCUGAUGGAGGGGGAUAACUACUGGAAACGGUGGCUAAUACCGCAUAACGUCGCAAGACCAAAGAGGGGGACCUUCGGGCCUCUUGCCAUCAGAUGUGCCCAGAUGGGAUUAGCUUGUUGGUGAGGUAACGGCUCACCAAGGCGACGAUCCCUAGCUGGUCUGAGAGGAUGACCAGCCACACUGGAACUGAGACACGGUCCAGACUCCUACGGGAGGCAGCAGUGGGGAAUAUUGCACAAUGGGCGCAAGCCUGAUGCAGCCAUGCCGCGUGUAUGAAGAAGGCCUUCGGGUUGUAAAGUACUUUCAGCGGGGAGGAAGGUGUUGCGGUUAAUAACCGCAGCAAUUGACGUUACCCGCAGAAGAAGCACCGGCUAACUCCGUGCCAGCAGCCGCGGUAAUACGGAGGGUGCAAGCGUUAAUCGGAAUUACUGGGCGUAAAGCGCACGCAGGCGGUCUGUCAAGUCGGAUGUGAAAUCCCCGGGC